Molecule: non-coding RNA, 823 nt
Organism: Durio zibethinus
Lineage: Eukaryota; Viridiplantae; Streptophyta; Magnoliopsida; Malvales; Malvaceae
Source: RefSeq, a predicted model, not a curated record
CUUUCAUUUUUCUUUUGGUCAAACUAAAAAAAAAGAAAAGAAAAAAGAAGAAAGAAAAAGCCAUUAUAAAGAAUGUUCUUAGUGAACAAGUAAUUGUCCGAACUGUCGAAGUCUAUUGUUCACCACCCCUCUCUUCAUUCCUCACCGCAGCCGGCGUCACUUAAUCAGCAGCAAAUUUUUGAGAGACAGAGAAAAAAUGAAGAAUUUCAUGGGUACAAGAAAAGAAACUGGACCCAAAGUUUCCCGAAAGAAACACCGCAGAUCAAGGAAACCCAAGUUUGAGGUUGGCAAACCAAAGCAAGUUGAUGAUAAGAAGAAAAAGGAUAAGAAAAAGAGGCAGAAACUGAGUACCCGUAUCGCCAAGCUGGGGCUGGAAGAGUUUCCGUUGAUAUUGGCUGAAAUUAGGGAAAGCAAUCGCCAGUUGAAAGAGCGGAUCUCUGAGAUCGACGCAUACAUCCUUGAUAAGGUUGAUACUUGGGAUGUUGAAGAUAAAAUAGGGGUUUUGACCAUUUGAAAUAUCUGGGAUCUUAUUUAUGAAGCAGAUGCAAUUGAAUAAAAGAAGACAAGAACAAACAGCUUUGACAGCUUAGGGUUUCUGUAUUCGUGUGUUUUAUCUACCUAUCAAGAACUGAAUUGGUGUGUUUUGGGAUUUAAAGACAAUUCUGUUUGGUUUUUUUUUUUUUUUUUUAUUUCAUCUGAAUAACUUAAUCUGUUCCACUUUGUGCUAUCAUUUAAUCAUAAUUUCUGAUUCUGGUGAUUCAUCCUUGCUACUUGUUUCAGUGCUAUUCAUUCUUUUUAUUGUUAAUUUGGAUAAGGUUUCUCU